UACGUAGGGGGCAAGCGUUGUCCGGAAUCAUUGGGCGUAAAGAGCGUGUAGGCGGCCAUACAGGUCAGCUGUGAAAACUCGAGGCUCAACCUCGAGAUGUCGGUUGAAACCGUAUGGCUAGAGUCCGGAAGAGGAGAGUGGAAUUCCCGGUGUAGCGGUGAAAUGCGCAGAUAUCGGGAAGAACACCCGUGGCGAAGGCGGCUCUCUGGGACGGUACUGACGCUGAGACGCGAAAGCGUGGGGAGCGAACAGG
This 253-nucleotide ribosomal RNA is filed under the name uncultured bacterium. RNAcentral describes it as "partial 16S ribosomal RNA". It matches the Rfam family "Bacterial small subunit ribosomal RNA", at positions 524 to 776 of the family's 1533-position model. The record is from RNAcentral.